RNAcentral lists this ribosomal RNA (733 nucleotides) under Bradyrhizobium sp. Its description in RNAcentral is "bacterial SSU rRNA". It matches the Rfam family "Bacterial small subunit ribosomal RNA", at positions 60 to 838 of the family's 1533-position model. Lineage: Bacteria; Pseudomonadati; Pseudomonadota; Alphaproteobacteria; Hyphomicrobiales; Nitrobacteraceae. The record is from RNAcentral.
AGUCGAGCGGGCAUAGCAAUAUGUCAGCGGCAGACGGGUGAGUAACGCGUGGGAACGUACCUUUUGGUUCGGAACAACUGAGGGAAACUUCAGCUAAUACCGGAUAAGCCCUUACGGGGAAAGAUUUAUCGCCGAAAGAUCGGCCCGCGUCUGAUUAGCUAGUUGGUGAGGUAAUGGCUCACCAAGGCGACGAUCAGUAGCUGGUCUGAGAGGAUGAUCAGCCACAUUGGGACUGAGACACGGCCCAAACUCCUACGGGAGGCAGCAGUGGGGAAUAUUGGACAAUGGGCGCAAGCCUGAUCCAGCCAUGCCGCGUGAGUGAUGAAGGCCCUAGGGUUGUAAAGCUCUUUUGUGCGGGAAGAUAAUGACGGUACCGCAAGAAUAAGCCCCGGCUAACUUCGUGCCAGCAGCCGCGGUAAUACGAAGGGGGCUAGCGUUGCUCGGAAUCACUGGGCGUAAAGGGUGCGUAGGCGGGUCUUUAAGUCAGGGGUGAAAUCCUGGAGCUCAACUCCCGAACUGCCUUUGAUACUGAAGAUCUUGAGUUCGGGAGAGGUGAGUGGAACUGCGAGUGUAGAGGUGAAAUUCGUAGAUAUUCGCAAGAACACCAGUGGCGAAAGCGGCUCACUGGCCCGAUACUGACGCUGAGGCACGAAAGCGUGCGGAGCAAACAGGAUUAGAUACCCUCCUAGUCCACCCCGUACACGAUGAAUGCCAGCCGUUAGUGGGUCGACUC